Long non-coding RNA from Ictalurus punctatus (channel catfish), 475 nucleotides. The record is from Ensembl. Lineage: Eukaryota; Metazoa; Chordata; Actinopteri; Siluriformes; Ictaluridae.
CUCACUAAUGACACGCGCUGUGCCUCCCUCACUCCGCGCCGCUUCCUCGGCGAACGCGCAGCUCCAACCACGACAAAACUGACGGAGUGACGAAAAGUUUUGCCAGACAGAGAAAGAAACUUUCUGUAACAAGGUGACAGCACUCGAGGCAGGCAGCUGUCCAGUCUGCGGACCGUCUCCAGAGAGAGAAAGGGAGGACAGGAAAUAGAGAGGAAAGACACACAGAGCGCGCGCGAGAGAGAGAAAGGAGGAAAACGGAGUACCCAGAGGAAACCCCUGAAGCACGGGGAGAGCAUGCAAACUCCACACACACAGGGUGAAGGCGGAAAUCGAACCCCCAACCCUGGACGUGCGAGGCAAACGUGUUAAUCACGAAGCCACUGCAUUUCAGAAGAUCCAGUGUUGCUUCUGGAGAAGCUCGAGAUGUCACACAUGGCAUGAGGGGAUCCAUUCAGGGCUGUGUGGAAAAUGACAG